UACGGGGGGGGCAAGCGUUGUUCGGAAUUACUGGGCGUAAGGGGCUCGUAGGCGGCCCACUAAGUCCGACGUGAAAUCCCCAGGCUUAACUUGGGAACUGCGUCGGAUACUGGUGGGCUUGAAUCCGGGAGAGGGAUGCGGAAUUCCAGGUGUAGCGGUGAAAUGCGUAGAUAUCUGGAGGAACACCGGUGGCGAAGGCGGCAUCCUGGACCGGCAUUGACGCUGAGUGAGCGAAAGCCAGGGGAGCAAACGGG
RNAcentral lists this ribosomal RNA (254 nucleotides) under uncultured bacterium. Its description in RNAcentral is "partial 16S ribosomal RNA". It matches the Rfam family "Bacterial small subunit ribosomal RNA", at positions 524 to 776 of the family's 1533-position model. The record is from RNAcentral.